AUGGUAAUUUGUGAUUGUUAUCAUCACCGGCAAUCUCAUGUGUUUCAAAAAAAAUGUGUGUCUCAUGGCCAGUCCCAAGAGGUAAAGGCAGCAACGCUGCUCCACAAGGCAAUGGAAUAUGAGACAAGUACCGACGGAGGAAUUUACUCCGAUAAGAGAAAACCAUCAACAUCGGUACAUUGUUCUGCGACGUUUACUUGGAGUCAUGCAAACACUAGCUCAGUUUGCCUCCAUGACAGUUAG
Vicia faba (fava bean) is the source of this 243-nucleotide non-coding RNA. Lineage: Eukaryota; Viridiplantae; Streptophyta; Magnoliopsida; Fabales; Fabaceae. The record is from the annotation of a GenBank genome assembly.